Molecule: ribosomal RNA, 485 nt
Filed under: uncultured bacterium
Lineage: Bacteria
Description: partial 16S ribosomal RNA
Rfam family: Bacterial small subunit ribosomal RNA
Source: RNAcentral
GAUGAACGCUGGCGGCGUGCUUAACACAUGCAAGUCGAACGAUGAACCGGGUGCUUGCACUCGGGGAUUAGUGGCGAACGGGUGAGUAACACGUGAGCAGCCUGCCCCUGACUCUGGGAUAAGCGCUGGAAACGGCGUCUAAUACUGGAUAUGUCCCGUCACCGCAUGGUGUGCGGGUGGAAAGAUUUUUCGUUUGGGGAUGGGCUCGCGGCCUAUAAGCUUGUUGGUGAGGUAAUGGCUCACCAAGGCGUCGACGGGUAGCCGGCCUGAGAGGGUGACCGGCCACACUGGGACUGAGACACGGCCCAGACUCCUACGGGAGGCAGCAGUGGGGAAUAUUGCACAAUGGGCGGAAGCCUGAUGCAGCAACGCCGCGUGAGGGAUGACGGCCUUCGGGUUGUAAACCUCUUUUAGCAGGGAAGAAGCGAGAGUGACGGUACCUGCAGAAAAAGCACCGGCUAACUACGUGCCAGCAGCCGCCGUAA